Molecule: non-coding RNA, 88 nt
Submitted as: unclassified sequences
Source: Rfam
GACCGGUUGAUUCGUCCCGGUUGUGUUCGGGACGCAGGCAUAAAGAAAAGGAACUGAGCAGAAAAGGACGCUGGUCGGGUGGCGAAGC